GACGAACGCUGGCGGCGUGCCUAAUACAUGCAAGUAGAACGCACAGUUUAUACCGUAGCUUGCUACACCAUAGACUGUGAGUUGCGAACGGGUGAGUAACGCGUAGGUAACCUGCCUGGUAGCGGGGGAUAACUAUUGGAAACGAUAGCUAAUACCGCAUAAUAUUAAUUAUUGCAUGAUAAUUAAUUGAAAGGUGCAAUUGCACCACUACCAGAUGGACCUGCGUUGUAUUAGCUAGUAGGUGAGGUAACGGCUCACCUAGGGGGCGAUACAUAGCCGACCUUGAGAGGUGAACGGCCACACUGGGACUGGGACCACGCCCAGACCCCUACGGGGGGCAGCAGGAGGGAAUCUUCGGCAAUGGAGGAAAGUCUGACCGAGCAACGCCGGGGGGGUGAAGAAGGUUUUCGGAUCGUAAAGCUCUGUUUUAAGAGAAGAACGGGUGUGAGAGUGAAACGUUCCCGUUGUGACGGUAUCUAACCAGAAAGGGCCGGCUAACUACGUG
Molecule: ribosomal RNA, 505 nt
Filed under: uncultured bacterium
Lineage: Bacteria
Description: partial 16S ribosomal RNA
Rfam family: Bacterial small subunit ribosomal RNA
Source: RNAcentral